This 253-nucleotide ribosomal RNA is filed under the name uncultured bacterium. RNAcentral's name for it is "partial 16S ribosomal RNA". It matches the Rfam family "Bacterial small subunit ribosomal RNA", at positions 524 to 776 of the family's 1533-position model. The record is from RNAcentral.
UACGUAGGGUGCGAGCGUUAUUCGGAAUUACUGGGCGUAAAGUGUGCGCAGGCGGCUCCGCAAGUCGAGUGUGAAAUCCCCGAGCUUAACUCGGGAAUUGCGCUCGAAACUACGGAGCUGGAGUGUGGCAGAGGAAGGUGGAAUUCCACGUGUAGCGGUGAAAUGCGUAGAUAUGUGGAGGAACACCGAUGGCGAAGGCAGCCUUCUGGGCCAACACUGACGCUCAUGCACGAAAGCGUGGGGAGCAAACAGG